Molecule: ribosomal RNA, 253 nt
Filed under: uncultured bacterium
Lineage: Bacteria
Description: partial 16S ribosomal RNA
Rfam family: Bacterial small subunit ribosomal RNA
Source: RNAcentral
UACGUAGGGUGCAAGCGUUGUCCGGAAUUAUUGGGCGUAAAGAGCUCGUAGGUGGCCUGUCGCGUCGGCUGUGAAAACUCGGGGCUCAACUCCGAGCUUGCAGUCGAUACGGGCAGGCUAGAGUUCGGCAGGGGAGACUGGAAUUCCUGGUGUAGCGGUGAAAUGCGCAGAUAUCAGGAGGAACACCGGUGGCGAAGGCGGGUCUCUGGGCCGAUACUGACACUGAGGAGCGAGAGCGUGGGGAGCGAACAGG